GGGGUUCACGUCGGUUUUGCUGUGAAGAGGUCUGUCCAGAAGUGGGGGUAAAGAAAGGGUGAUUCUUAUCGCAGAACAAGGCAUGUUGUUUUAAUCUCACCAGAAGUUUCAUCUAAUGUGAAAUAGAAAAAGACCAAACACUACAGAUUGAAGCUGGGUGCCUGAUGGACACCUGCUCGUGUGCUUCUCUGUAAGUAUUUGCAUUGUCGCAGUUGCAAGCACCCAUUUCACUGAGAAUCACUGCUGCAUCAUCGCAGUUGCAAGCGCGCAUUUGCUGAGAAUCACUGUUGCCUCCAUGGGGUCCUGUCCUAUGGGCGAUCCCUAUCUAGUUGGGAACUCUGUGCCAGGAGCUCCAAUGCUUCCCAUCUUACUAAGUUCUACACUGACUACAGUGAUAGGUAACGUCUGUUUUCCUGCAAUGCUUAAAUAUUGUUUCUACCUCCACCUUUGGCAGCUAUGUGGCAGACAAUUUAAUCACUGUUAGGCAAAAAAGACCUAAAGUUAUUCUGUUAGCUACUGUACCCUGCCUGGAUUCCCCAGGCCACAUGUCUUGGAUAGCCCCACACGGCUUCAGAUAUUGUUAUUGCUUCUAUCCACUCUGCUAAACUGAGCCAUGGUUAAUAAAAGAUGAGAA
This 634-nucleotide long non-coding RNA is filed under the name Pongo abelii (Sumatran orangutan). RNAcentral describes it as "lincRNA". The record is from RNAcentral. Lineage: Eukaryota; Metazoa; Chordata; Mammalia; Primates; Hominidae.